UCAGGACUGUCCCUAUAAAAUCAGGACAUCUGGUCACCCUACUUGCAGGUCACCGACAGUGGUAGGGGAGCGGAAAGGUAUAGGGACAUGAGGUCUAAUCCUCUCUCUCUGUGAACAGCAUAUAGUUGGAUGGGUUUUUAUUACAGAGGUACCAGUUGUAGCUCCAUGGUGAAGGCUGAGUUACAUAUUAUGCUUAAAGAGAAUGAGUCCUUUGCUCUGGUACAAAUGAAAAAUGCAAGGGAUCCCCCCACAAAAUUGAUAGCAGUGACUUGGAGCAGGGAAUUCAUUUUCUAAGAAUUUUCAAGUAAAUCUGUUAACUAGUUGAGGGGUAGUUUAGAUCAUAGGCACAGCUCUGCUAACUCAGUUGGUAGCGCAUGAGACUCAGUCUCAUGGGUCAUGGGUUGGAGCCCCAUGUUGGGUGGUAGGUUUGGCCCCUGAUGGAAGACAGGAUACUGUGCUAUGGAAAUGUACAGUUAGGAAACCCAAAUCACCUUAACUCAGCCUUUCAGCCUCCCAAGCGCUUAGAAGUAGUCCCUUUGCAAAUUAAUUGGUGACCAAACAGUAAGGAUUAAUUUUCUUGAUCUGCAACACAUUUUUGUCAGUCAGUAACAAAGUGAAGGACAGCAGCCCAGUCCAACAGGUAGAGCACUGGACUGAGGGGUCAAAAGGAGUGAAUUCAAGCCAGUGAGUCACUUUGCAAACUUGGUCAAAUCACUUCACCUCACUGUGCCUCAGCCUUACCAAUCUGUAAAAUGGGAACAAUGUUACAUACAUCUCUCUUUACAACACGCCUUGAGAGCUAGGUUUCAGAAGCAUUACACAUAGCUUGACACAAGAACAAGCACAAGGAAACAUUACACACACUGACUAAGUGAAAGACAGCUACUGCCUGUUGCAAAAUGAUCACUUUAGGGCAUCAGCUGUUUGUCUUUGCCCAAUUUAAAGGGCCAGUGUCACAAAAGGCAUUCAGGGGGGAAAAAUUCCAAAAAGAGGGCAAUCUUCCAGUAGAGAGAGUUAAUAGAAAAUAAGAAGCUUUGAGGGAAGGGAGCAAUGGUACUUAAGUUAUGCUUUGGCUUGUAAUGUCAUCACUUGAUUAAUAAUAAUAGUACUUUUCAAUGGGAGGUUUUUUUUUUUUACAAAGGAUCAUUAACCCCAGUUUACAGAUAGGGAAACUGAGGCAUAGACCAAUGUGACUGCCCCAAAGUCACGUAGAAGUCAGAGCCAGGAACAGAACCAAUGUCUUUAGGGUCUUAGUCCAGUGUCAUAGCCACUAGGUAACACUCCCUAUUAUAGCAACUAUUCCUACAAACUUUCUUUUCUAACCCAUGCACGAACAUGCUUCUUCGUAGCAUCCAAUUAAAUUUUCCAUGGGAACACCAAAUAGAUUGAAUAGAUGUAUAGAUUCCAAGGACAGAAGGGAUCAUUGUGUUCACCUCGUCUGACCUCCUGUGUAACACAAGCCAUAAGACUUCCCCGAAUCAAUCCCUGUUUGAACUAGAGUUGACCUUUUAGAAAAAUGUCCAACCUUGAUUUAAAAAUUGCUUAUGCUGGAGAAUUCACCACAACCCUUAUUAAAUUAUUCUAAUGGUUAAUUACCCCCAUUGUUAAAAACUUGUGCCUCAUUUCUUGUCUGAAUUGGUCUAGCUUCAGCUUCCAGGCACUUGAUGUUGUUAGACCUUUGUCUGCUAGAUAGAAGAGCCAUUCAGUGGAGUCGCAUCAUACCCGCAUUUAACUUACGCGAAUUCAACUAUACGCGCUCGGCAAAAAAAAAGAAAAAUAACAAUAACUCGCGGCGGUGGAGUACUGUACAGGAGUCGACGGGAGAGCACUCGGGGGGGUCGAUUUAUCCUCGGGGGAAAAUAAAUCCUCUUGCCUCUAGAUAAAGGGCUGCGGCCUUGCAGUCUAGGAAUGUAUCAGAAGCACUAACGUUUCCUUCCUGUUUCUCUGUCUCAGACACGGUGCCUAUUGCAAACCCUCUCCAAAGCCUCCAGGACGAAGUCACCCUCUCCCUCUGCCUCGACUAUUUCAGCGAUCCCGUGACGCUAACCUGCGGGCACAGCUUCUGCCUGGCCUGCAUCAGCCUUUGUUGCAAUGGUUACAAAGACAAAUGUGGAAACCUGACUCAAGUGUAUCCUGAGGACUCAAACCCCAGAAGGCAAAGACAAAGAACUCAAAAUUUCUGUGACAUAGGGGCAAUCAAUGAUUUUGACCUCCUUUGUAAAGAACCCUAUGGAUGUUGCCAACCAAAAAUCCAGAGAAAUAAUCACCCUGGCAGAGAGGAGCCUGAUGGGAAAUGUACAGACAGGUAAACGGAGGCCAAGAGAGGGGCUGGGACCUGCCCAAAAGCCAUAGAGGGGUCAAAGGCCCAGCCAUUAAUAGAACUCAGGAGUCCUGACUCCCAGGUCCUUCUGCUCUAACCACUAAAUGCCACUCUCCUCCCAAAGCUGGAGAGGGAACCCAGGAGUCCUGACUCCCAAUCCCCUGCUGUUCUAACCCGUAAACCCCUCUCCCCUUCCACUGCUGGGGAUAGACCCCAGGAGUCCUGACUCUAAACCCUCCUGCUGCUCUAACCAGUGAACCCCUUUCCCCUCCCAAAGCUGUGGAUAGAACCCAGGAGUCCUGACUCCCAGCCCCUCUUUUUUAACCCAUUUAACCCCAACCUGCCUGGUGCUCCUGCUGGGAAACAGGGGAAGCCCCAUGCCCCAACCCCAUUUCUCCAGGAGGAGCACCGGGGGCAGGGGGCGCAGAGGGGACUGCAGACGGAAGGGUUGGGGAGGGGCCCCCAUUUGCUCUAGUCAAGGGCCUCAGAAA
Chelonia mydas (Green sea turtle) is the source of this 2811-nucleotide long non-coding RNA. RefSeq lists it as uncharacterized. Lineage: Eukaryota; Metazoa; Chordata; Testudines; Cheloniidae. The record is from RefSeq and is a predicted model, not a curated record. The transcript has 3 exons.